CCUACGGGGGGCAGCAGUCAAGAAUCUUCCUCAAUGGGCGAAAGCCUGAAGGAGCAAUGCCGCGUGAUCGAUGAAGCUUUUCGGAGUGUAAAGAUCUUUUAUCAGGGACGAAUUCGUGACGGUACCUGAUGAAUAAGUCACUGCUAACUACGUGCCAGCAGCAGCGGUAAUACGUAGGUGGCGAGCGUUACCCGGAUUUAUUGGGCGUAAAGCGUCCGCAGACGGUUUGAAUAGUUCUUGGUUAAAUCUUGAGGCUCAACUUCAAGACCGCCAAGAAUACUUUUAGACUAGAGAUUGGGAGAGGCAAGCGGAAUUGUCGGUGUAGUAGUAGAAUACGUUGAUAUCGACAGGAACACCAAAAGCGAAGGCAGCUUGCUGGAACAAUUCUGACGUUCAGGGACGAAAGCGUGGGUAGCGAAUGGGAUUAGAUACCCCUGUAGUC
Molecule: ribosomal RNA, 442 nt
Filed under: uncultured bacterium
Lineage: Bacteria
Description: bacterial SSU rRNA
Rfam family: Bacterial small subunit ribosomal RNA
Source: RNAcentral